RNAcentral lists this ribosomal RNA (429 nucleotides) under Gemmatimonadota bacterium. RNAcentral describes it as "Gemmatimonadetes bacterium partial 16S ribosomal RNA". It matches the Rfam family "Bacterial small subunit ribosomal RNA", at positions 355 to 776 of the family's 1533-position model. Lineage: Bacteria; Pseudomonadati; Gemmatimonadota. The record is from RNAcentral.
UAGGGAAUCUUCGGCAAUGGACGAAAGUCUGACCGAGCAACGCCGCGUGAGUGAAGAAGGUUUUCGGAUCGUAAAACUCUGUUGUUAGAGAAGAACAAGGACGUUAGUAACUGAACGUCCCCUGACGGUAUCUAACCAGAAAGCCACGGCUAACUACGUGCCAGCAGCCGCGGUAAUACGUAGGUGGCAAGCGUUGUCCGGAUUUAUUGGGCGUAAAGCGAGCGCAGGCGGUUUCGUAAGUCUGAUGUGAAAGGCCCCGGCUCAACCGGGGAGGGGCAUUGGAAACUGGGAGACUUGAGUGCAGAAGAGGAGAGUGGAAUUCCAUGUGUAGGGGUGAAAUGCGUAGAUAUAUGGAGGAACACCAGUGGCGAAGGCGGCUCUCUGGUCUGUAACUGACGCUGAGGCUCGAAAGCGUGGGGAGCAAACAGG